This is a non-coding RNA of Brachypodium distachyon (stiff brome), 135 nucleotides long. The record is from Rfam. NCBI's taxonomy places the organism in Eukaryota, Viridiplantae, Streptophyta, Magnoliopsida, Poales, Poaceae.
AUAGUUCUCCCUCCGUCCAACAAAAGAUGUCUCAAUUUUGACUAAAUUUGAAUGCAUCUAUACACUAAGACAUGUCUAGAUACAUCCAAAUUUUGACAAACUUGAGACAUCUUUUGUGAACGAAGGGAGUAUGUC